GAUGAAGAACGUAGCGAACUGCGAUAAGUAAUGUGAAUUGCAGAAUUCAGUGAAUCAUCGAGUCUUUGAACGCACAUCGCGCCCCCUGGCAUUCCGGGGGGCAUGCCUGUCCGAGCGUCAUUGCUGCCCUUCAAGCCCGGCUUGUGUGUUGGGUCGUCGUCCCCCCCGGGGGACGGGCCCGAAAGGCAGCGGCGGCACCGCGUCCGGUCCUCGAGCGUAUGGGGCUUUGUCACCCGCUCGAUUAGGGCCGGCCGGGCGCCAGCCGGCGUCUCCAACCUUCUAUUUUACCAGGUUGACCUCGGAUCAGGUAGGGAUACCCGCUGAACUUAAGCAUAUCAAUAAGCGGAGGA
RNAcentral lists this unclassified non-coding RNA (350 nucleotides) under soil metagenome. RNAcentral describes it as "partial contains 5.8S ribosomal RNA, internal transcribed spacer 2, and large subunit ribosomal RNA". The stretch from base 1 to 120 matches the Rfam family "5.8S ribosomal RNA", at positions 35 to 154 of the family's 154-position model. The record is from RNAcentral.